CUUAUUGCGGGAUGCUUGCAUGAAAUACAGAGAAGCGUUCAUAGAGUGUACUGAACUUGAUCCGUUCAGCUUUACAACGCUCGCUAGCUGUUGUAUGGGGGUCUUCAAGACACGAUAUCUCGCCAGAGACACUCUGGCUCUGACGCAUAAUAAUGCGUACGUCCAGCAGAGUAAGACUUACUCAAACGGUUCGAUCGAAUGGCUGGAAUAUGUAAAAAAGACCCGAAACGUCGACAUUCACCACGCUCUAAACCACGGCGAGAUGCAGAUCGGUCGUUACUUUUUAGACGGCUACUACGAACAGAACGGAUCGAGGUAUGGUUUAGAAUACCUCGGAUGUCUCCAUCAUGGACACGAAUGUCGCUUCGACCCCGAUCAUACGCACCCCUUGUCGCAUGUACCCUACGGCGAACUCAGGAGACAGUCUGACGACAAAGUGGAAAUUCUGCAAAAUGCCUACGGGGUAAAAGUGGAAAUUUUAUGGGAAUGUCAGUGGCUGAAAAUGAAACAGACUGACCCCUCGGUGAAAGAAUUUAUGAGUAUUUAUUCGGCCCCCGAGAGACUGAAACCCCGAGACUCGCUUUUUGGUGGACGCACGAACGCUUAUAAGCUGUACCACAAAACGGUCAAUGGGGAGAAAAUAAGUUAUGUCGAUUUCACCAGCUUAUAUCCGUUCUGCCAGGCCAGGAAAAGCUAUCCGAUCGGUCACCCCGAGAUAAUUUUCAGUGACUUUGAACCGAUUGAGAAUUAUUACGGUCUUAUCAAGGCCACCGUGUACCCUCCACGCAAAUUACUACAUCCGGUUUUACCUUACCGCUGCGGCGGGAAACUAAUGUUCCCGUUAUGCCGAACAUGCGCACGCGCUGAAAACCAGACAACGAGUUGCACGCACACGGACGAGGAGAGGGCUCUCUCAGGGUGCUGGGUCAGCAUCGAACUUUUAAAAGCGAUCGAGAAGGGGUACGUGGUGGCAAAGGUCGACGAAGUGUGGCAUUUCCCAC
RNAcentral lists this long non-coding RNA (1001 nucleotides) under Sinocyclocheilus anshuiensis. RNAcentral's name for it is "lncRNA (ENSSANG00000029667.1)". Lineage: Eukaryota; Metazoa; Chordata; Actinopteri; Cypriniformes; Cyprinidae. The record is from RNAcentral.